Long non-coding RNA from Coccinella septempunctata (seven-spotted ladybird), 363 nucleotides. RefSeq lists it as uncharacterized. NCBI's taxonomy places the organism in Eukaryota, Metazoa, Arthropoda, Insecta, Coleoptera, Coccinellidae. The record is from RefSeq and is a predicted model, not a curated record. The transcript has 2 exons.
UGCAGAAAUCAACCGAGGAAGACUUGAUAGUCGACUUCAGCAGGCCCUAUACCCUGCCGGUUACACAGGGAGGCAUCACGACCUGAAGUCCAUUACUGCCUCAACCCUGGCUAACCUUAUUACAGGCAGAAUCAUCAGUGUGAAAGUGAACGUGGACCUAACCUUUGCAGAUAUCUGCGCCAGAUGGAUAGAAGAAAAAACGGGUAUGCAUACCCUGCGUUAGAUUACCGGAGAUAUAUCUCCUGGAGGGUGGUUCGAAGGGAUGUGCAGUCCAGAGAAUAACAUACAAAUGCUGCACCUGGAAUACGCAGAGGAGCUGCAAUACUAUAAGAUAAACUCAAAGACGUGGAAUGUAGAUGAAUG